GUGCCAGCAGCCGCGGUAAUACGUAGGUCCCGAGCGUUGUCCGGAUUUAUUGGGCGUAAAGCGAGCGCAGGUGGUUUAAUAAGUCUGAUGUAAAAGGCAGUGGCUCAACCAUUGUGUGCAUUGGAAACUGUUAGACUUGAGUGCAGUAGAGGAGAGUGGAAUUCCAUGUGUAGCGGUGAAAUGCGUAGAUAUAUGGAGGAACACCGGUGGCGAAAGCGGCUCUCUGGACUGUCACUGACACUGAGGCUCGAAAGCGUGGGUAGCAAACAGGAUUAGAUACCCUGGUAGUCCACGCCGUAAACGAUGAGUGCUAGUUGUUUGGGGCUAUCCAGCCCUAAGUGACGCAGCAAACGCAUUAAGCACUCCGCCUGGGGAGUACGACCGCAAGGUUGAAACUCAAAGGAAUUGACGGGGGCCCGCACAAGCGGUGGAGCAUGUGGUUUAAUUCGAAGCAACGCGAAGAACCUUACCAGGUCUUGACAUACUCGUGCUAUUCCUAGAGAUAGGAAGUUCCUUCGGGACACGGGAUACAGGUGGUGCAUGGUUGUCGUCAGCUCGUGUCGUGAGAUGUUGGGUUAAGUCCCGCAACGAGCGCAACCCCUAUUGUUAGUUGCCAUCAUUAAGUUGGGCACUCUAGCGAGACUGCCGGUAAUAAACCGGAGGAAGGUGGGGAUGACGUCAAAUCAUCAUGCCCCUUAUGACCUGGGCUACACACGUGCUACAAUGGUUGGUACAACGAGUCGCAAGGCAGUGAUGUCAAGCUAAUCUCUUAAAGCCAAUCUCAGUUCGGAUUGUAGGCUGCAACUCGCCUACAUGAAGUCGGAAUCGCUAGUAAUCGCGGAUCAGCACGCCGCGGUGAAUACGUUCCCGGGCCUUGUACACACCGCCCGU
RNAcentral lists this ribosomal RNA (891 nucleotides) under uncultured bacterium. Its description in RNAcentral is "bacterial SSU rRNA". It matches the Rfam family "Bacterial small subunit ribosomal RNA", at positions 505 to 1397 of the family's 1533-position model. The record is from RNAcentral.